Molecule: long non-coding RNA, 102 nt
Organism: Thalassophryne amazonica
Lineage: Eukaryota; Metazoa; Chordata; Actinopteri; Batrachoidiformes; Batrachoididae
Exons: 3
Source: RefSeq, a predicted model, not a curated record
CCUCGGGUCCACUGGUUGGAGGGUCCACUGGUCUUAAUCUCUUUAUAUUAUUUAAUGGUGUCUAUUACAACCCCAAACUGAUUUUAAAGUUUACCCUAAACC